Non-coding RNA from Habropoda laboriosa, 58 nucleotides. NCBI's taxonomy places the organism in Eukaryota, Metazoa, Arthropoda, Insecta, Hymenoptera, Apidae. The record is from Rfam.
UGGCGUAGUGCGCAAAGCCUCGGCUUUCUAAGCCGAAGGUCUCGGGUUCGAUUCCCGU